RNAcentral lists this ribosomal RNA (481 nucleotides) under uncultured bacterium. RNAcentral's name for it is "bacterial SSU rRNA". It matches the Rfam family "Bacterial small subunit ribosomal RNA", at positions 32 to 524 of the family's 1533-position model. The record is from RNAcentral.
AAUCAACGCUGGCGGCGUGCCUCAGACAUGCAAGUCGAACGAUUAAAGCUCUCUUCGGAGAGUGUAUAGAGUGGCGCACGGGUGAGUAACACGUAAGUAAUCUACCCUCGAGUGGGGAAUAACAACCGGAAACGGUUGCUAAUACCGCAUAAUGCAGCGGCACCGCAAGGUGACAGUUGUUAAAGAUUUAUCGCUUGAGGAGGAGCUUGCGGCAGAUUAGCUAGUUGGUAGGGUAACGGCUUACCAAGGCUACGAUCUGUAACCGGUCUAAGAGGACGGUCGGUCACACUGACACUGAAUAACGGGUCAGACUCCUACGGGAGGCAGCAGUCGGGAAUUUUGGGCAAUGGGCGAAAGCCUGACCCAGCAACGCCGCGUGAAGGAUGAAGUAUUCGGUAUGUAAACUUCGAAAGAAUAGGAAGAAUUAAUGACGGUACUAUUUAUAAGGUCCGGCUAACUACGUGCCAGCAGCCGCGGUAAU